This 497-nucleotide ribosomal RNA is filed under the name uncultured bacterium. RNAcentral's name for it is "partial 16S ribosomal RNA". It matches the Rfam family "Bacterial small subunit ribosomal RNA", at positions 28 to 507 of the family's 1533-position model. The record is from RNAcentral.
GAUGAACGCUGGCGGCGUGCCUAAUACAUGCAAGUCGAGCGAACAGACGAGGAGCUUGCUCCUCUGACGUUAGCGGCGGACGGGUGAGUAACACGUGGAUAACCUACCUAUAAGACUGGGAUAACUUCGGGAAACCGGAGCUAAUACCGGAUAAUAUAUUGAACCGCAUGGUUCAAUAGUGAAAGACGGUUUUGCUGUCACUUAUAGAUGGAUCCGCGCCGCAUUAGCUAGUUGGUAAGGUAACGGCUUACCAAGGCAACGAUGCGUAGCCGACCUGAGAGGGUGAGCGGCCCCACUGGAACUGAGACACGGUCCAGACUCCUACGGGAGGCAGCAGUAGGGAAUCUUCCGCAAUGGGCGAAAGCCUGACGGAGCAACGCCGCGUGAGUGAUGAAGGUCUUCGGAUCGUAAAACUCUGUUAUUAGGGAAGAACAAAUGUGUAAGUAACUAUGCACGUCUUGACGGUACCUAAUCAGAAAGCCACGGCUAACUACGUG